RNAcentral lists this small RNA (19 nucleotides) under Arabidopsis thaliana (thale cress). RNAcentral's name for it is "Ath_wt_09731". Lineage: Eukaryota; Viridiplantae; Streptophyta; Magnoliopsida; Brassicales; Brassicaceae. The record is from RNAcentral.
CCGCUCACGCCCGGUCGUA